RNAcentral lists this ribosomal RNA (525 nucleotides) under uncultured Maribacter sp. RNAcentral describes it as "bacterial SSU rRNA". It matches the Rfam family "Bacterial small subunit ribosomal RNA", at positions 396 to 917 of the family's 1533-position model. The record is from RNAcentral. Lineage: Bacteria; Pseudomonadati; Bacteroidota; Flavobacteriia; Flavobacteriales; Flavobacteriaceae.
GCCGCGUGCAGGAAGACGGCCCUAUGGGUUGUAAACUGCUUUUAUACAGGAAGAAAAAGGGGUACGUGUACCCCACUGACGGUACUGUAAGAAUAAGGACCGGCUAACUCCGUGCCAGCAGCCGCGGUAAUACGGAGGGUCCGAGCGUUAUCCGGAAUUAUUGGGUUUAAAGGGUCCGUAGGCGGGUCAUUAAGUCAGAGGUGAAAGUUUGCAGCUCAACUGUAAAAUUGCCUUUGAUACUGGUGGUCUUGAGUUAUGGUGAAGUGGCUGGAAUAUGUAGUGUAGCGGUGAAAUGCAUAGAUAUUACAUAGAACACCGAUUGCGAAGGCAGGUCACUAACCAUAUACUGACGCUGAUGGACGAAAGCGUGGGGAGCGAACAGGAUUAGAUACCCUGGUAGUCCACGCCGUAAACGAUGGAUACUAGCUGUCCGGGACUUUAAGUUCUGGGCGGCCAAGCGAAAGUGAUAAGUAUCCCACCUGGGGAGUACGUUCGCAAGAAUGAAACUCAAAUGAAAUUGACGGA